CUCCAUCAUGGUUUCGCUCCUUAGCCACCCUUCGCCUGAUGCCAAGAAGGGAAAUAACACCUCCUAAGUGUUGGAUAACUGCUCAGGCUGAGAGCUACUCCUAAACUGGAGGCCUGAGAGUGCAGUGAGCAUUCUGCUGCCACACUGCAGUCAGGGGCCAGGCCAAGGCUGGCUCAGGUCCAAGAAGGGUGCCACCCAGCCCAGCAAGUACCUGAAUGGGGGAAUGAGGAUGAAGAAAAAUAAAGACAAAGAGAUAAAGUCGGGAGGGCUCCCAGAGACCGAGCAC
Molecule: long non-coding RNA, 286 nt
Filed under: Heterocephalus glaber (naked mole-rat)
Lineage: Eukaryota; Metazoa; Chordata; Mammalia; Rodentia; Bathyergidae
Description: lncRNA (ENSHGLG00100037228.1)
Source: RNAcentral